CCCAGACCCUUUUGCCCUUUCCACUCAAACUUUUUCCCGUUUCCCCUUUUCAAGCUCAUUAAAAUCUACCCAAAUAAACCUUAUGGUUUUCUCGAAAUCAUAUUAUGUAUCAUCAAUCUUUUGAUUUUGGUGCAAUAUAAUCUUGGAGAAGGCUAUGUAGGUAGAUACUGUAGAUUUUCUUUUGACAUGUAACUAUAAAUUUUAUGUUUUCCUUUAGCUUUAUGAUUUCUUUCAGUAUUUGAAUGGCUACAAUUCAACAGUUUUGAGUUAUCCCUCACGUUUUUCAAUUUCUUUCACCCCGUUAAUCUUGUAUUUGACUUUAUGGAACUUAAGAAGAUGUUCAUUACUUGUCAUGUACUGCCACUCUUUUUCUCAUCUCAUUUAAGCUUUCGGUGCUGAAUUCUGGUUUUAUACAACCGAUUAGUCUAAGAAAAUUUUUAUUAGAGAGUGUUUGAUGCCGACAAGACUUGACCUUUUUGUAACAUUAUGAUUUGUAAGAGAAAUUAUUUUUUGUAACAUUAAACUUGAAAGUAUGUUGAGUGAGUGAUAUACCAGUUUUAUAAGGCAAGGCCAGUUGUCUGACUCUGCAGCCUUAGAUGAUAAUCAUGAUGUUACAAUGGAUUCAACUGCAAUUUUCAUGCAUAUUCGUAGUCUUACUAGAUCAGAGGUAGACUUCAAGACCCCAACAGGUGUUAAUCUCUCAUUUGAAGAGAAAACUCUAAGAAUGAGAAUGUAGGAAGUUUCAUGAAAUUGACUUUAGUUAAGAAGCCGGUUUCUAUAUCCUCCAUUCCUGCCACAAAUGUUAGUGGAAGUCGUGAUUCAAAUGAUAUGAGUCUUCUUGAUGAAAACCCCAACUGGUAUAAAUAUGAGAAAGUUACCAGGAUUGUAUGCACUUUUGGCGGAGAGCAGAAAAAAAUUGCUUUCUGUUGGUGGCUCUGAUGAUAUUAAUGCCUCAAAGUCACCUGGAAGGAUGAAAAGUAGGCACUCUAUAUGAUAUCAUCAUAUGAUGGGAAUAGCCUUAUAAAUUUAAGUGAAUUUUGCAAAGCAAGAAACUGACACGAUCAUUUCUCAGGAUUUACUGUGUAAAGAAGUUUCUGAUGUACAUGGCAAAUUUCAGGAAGCAAAUGGUGGUAUAUUAUAAUGUCUUGUCAUGCCCUGCCCGUCCCUUACCGUCUUUUUCAAUUUGUAUUGCUUGCCAAACAUGCAAUUAGGGAGUGUUAACCUUAAGCUACUAUUAUUCUUUCUAAAAGAAGUUAGGCUGUUGGCAUUGGGAUGAGAGCUCGUGGGUAUUACUAAUACUAUAUAGGAUAAUGUUUUUCCACUUAGUGAACUAAACAUUGAAAUAGAUUGACAUCUCAAAAUUUGAGCAACUUUUUGACAUUGGAACUUUGCAUAUUGGUUUUUAAUGAUAUUUCUUUGAAUUUAAGCAUGGAGAUAUGGGAUAGAGUGAUAAUUCUAGGCUUUUUACUUGUCUAAGAGAAAUUUAAUAUCUGUCUCUGUUAAAUGAACAUUAAUGGAGUGUUGGCCACAUCUGCUUAAAAUUCAUAAUUUAUGGAAGAAGGUUUUACAUUAGCCAUACCGCCUAUGUGAGUAAAAAUUUCCCAGAAAUUAGUGUGUGUGACUACAUAUUAUUUUCUUUCUUGCAUCUCGCUUUUUCUGUGUUUACAUUUCUGUCAAUGUUAUGCAACUUAAGUAUGGAGAUGUCAGGUCUCCUUUAUACUUAUUAUCUGAUAUGUAAUGAGAAAUCCUGUUUUUAAACAUUUUUGAAAUGUGCACAGGGCCAUUAUUAUUUAGUGUGGACAAAAGCAAUAUGUUUUAUAGCUCUACGAAAAGUCAUAUGAUCACUCAACCUUUUAGGAUCUGAACCAUAUGUUAGAUCCAAGAUAACAGGAUAUUGAUUCAACCUUAAUCAUUUCAUACAAUGGAUCUUCGUACAACAAAUUCCUAUCUUGAAAUUGUGUUAGACUUAAAUACCAUAUUGCAUCCAUGUGCUCGCCUUGGCUUGCAAGGCUACGCAGUCAAUAUCUUGGACUGGUAUCAAUAGUAGUUAUGUAAACACAUGCUUCUGUUGUUCGAAUGAAUUUGUUGCUUGUUUUCCUUUGUAAUUAUGGAUCUUCACACCAUCAUCACAACGGAAAUUACUGAUUCUUUCCCUCACUCCUUCCUUAAUUAUUUCUCUUUAUGGUCAUAUUCUUGCUAUGACUACAUCUUCAUAAUCAAUUCACAUUGAACACAUUAAAAAACUCUCGAAAUUUUAUUUUAUUUUAUUUUAUUAUUAUUAUUUUUUUUUUUUAUGACUUGUUGAAUGAGAAGAGAAGAAUGUGUACACAAACCUCAAAUGUCAUCAAUUUUAAAAUUUUGGAGUUGCAAUCUUUAAAAGUAGAAUUAUUUAAUGUCUUCAUAAAUUUAAUAUUUUCCUUUUCUUGUUCAUUUGCUGCAAUUGUUAACCAAGUUCUCUUUCAAUUUCUCAGCAGAUUGCAGUAGUGUUGAAAUGUAUCGAAGAGGUUCGUGACUAUUUCAAUUUUGUCUCUUUUAAUCGAGGCUUGUAUUAAUUUUUUGUAAUUAUAGUUUGUGUGAAACUUUUAUUGUCAAAAUGACUUACCUAAUUGGAAUCUGAUUUCUAUGAUGUCCUAAUAUAAUUGAUUUUUACUGCGUUAUAAUAGUUUAUAUCUUAAUAAUGUUGGUAGAUUAUCAUGUAUAAAGAUUGGGUACACUUAUCAAUGUUAUCUUGUCCUUUUAAAUUUAGACUAUCUUAAAAUAUGUCCAUAAAUGUUUUUUAAAUGAUAUAUUUAGCAUUUUUUUUAUAAAGUUUCAGAGGCAUAUCAGUAUGGUGCAAGCCAAUGCAGGGAAUGUUGCAAAAACCUAUUCCACCAACAUCUUGAUAUAAUGUAUGGGCAUUUGAUCUACGUCUACUACCUGGUUGUUUCAUGGGGAAAAAUCGAAUGUAGUAUCAUUGCUUUCUCAAGAUGUAGAAAAUCUAGAUACAUGUAUGAUGUACAGACAUACAUUUUAUUAUGGUGACAAUAUUUUAGAACCUAAGAAUGAAGAUAGAGAGAGAGACUUUUUCAAAUUUAUAUGAGGGCAUUGAAAUUCCUUUAUAUCUUGGUUGCAUGAAGUAUAUAAAGGAUAUCUGCUAUUGUUGUCUUAUAUAAGCAUAAAGUUACAUAUGGUAUAUUUGACAAGGAUUUCAGUGAACUUCUUGAUAUUAUCCGAGAUAUGCUAUCACAUGGGAAUGCCCUUCUCGAUUCUUGCAGUUCAACAAAAAGGUUAUUGAACACCUUUGAUUUUGGGUAUGAGAACAUCCAUGCAUGUGUAACUAAUUGUUUGUUUAGAAUGGAUCUAGAGAAUUUGGAGACAUGAUUUAGAAGAAUGAUUAGGUCACUUGAUAAGGCAGAACAACUAAUAUGGCACUCAAAUCACAAAAGUCAAGAUGGAAAAAUGUGUCAUUUAGUUUAUUCAAUAGCUUGGGAGAGAAUUGAUCAAAAAAUGGCCUUGUUUUGCAUCAAACUCAUGAGAACUUAGGAUUCGCCUUCUCCCAAUGGAUUUUCGACCUUUGGUGACCUAGUUCUAGGUAUAAUUGUUGGCCAGUGAUAUUAGUUAUAUAUAAUCUCCCUCCUUGGAUAUGCACGUCUUGAGGAAAAUUUAUUAUUAACUUUAUUAAUUCUAGGUCCAAAGCAACAUGGAAAUGAUAUAGAUGUGCAUCCAGAAUCACUCAUAGAAGACUUAAAAUAGAUGUGGAGUAUUGGUGUUCAAGUAUAUGAUCCAUCUUCAAUUUGAAGGCUGUGCUCUAUGAUCCUCGGACUCGAGUACGGGUACGUAACUAAAUAUCGGAUCUUUUAUUUUCUAAAAUGUAGUUCAAGUACUGAUUACUUUUUUUUUUUUUUUUUUGGAGGAGGAGAAAUUAUUUAUCUAAACUAAACUAUCUCUAGGUUGAUAGUUUUCAUCUUCGGUUGUCCAAACAUUUCGAAUCCUACGAAGCUUAGACGAAGGGGCUUCAUCAUCCAAAUAUAUACAUGACUCAAUCUUAGAGUCUAGUUUUGGCUCUGGUCUUGGUACAUGCUCUGGCUCGUCCUCUGGCUCUAAAUUAGGUUCACAAUUUGGCUCCUGUUCUAGGUCUUCAUCAGGGUCUUCCUCGGGUUCGGACUCGAGAGUAGAAAUUCACCUAUCUAGAAAAGUUUCACAUUACAAAUCAAACUCGAUCCUUUUCUGGUGCUCUGGAGGGUUACCCUCUCGCAUUUUAUCCCUAACCGCAAUGCCUAUGUCUCCCCAUUGAGGGGACAAUGUAUGGAUAAAAUUGUCAACAACUUGAAGGGAUGUAAUCUCAUGUACUAAGCCCCUUGCCGCAGCCCAUCUAGCGAAGACUUCCUCCACAUGCUCAAUAAGUAUGUGAGUUGAGUUUGCCUCAUAAUUCUCGUAGGCUUGGAUAACUGCAGUCCUAUGGUUUAGAACAAUUCUACAAGUCGUUAUCUUUCUAGUGGUCUCUCUAAUUCUAGCCAUGACUGUCACAUACAAGCCAAGUCCAAUUAUGCUUCAUAUUUUAUUAGUGGUGAUAAUACAUUGCCCGUAAUGCCUGCAUGAUUCAUUACUAAGAUAAUAUAAAAUGUUAUACUUCUAUCAAAAGGUAAAAGUAUGUGAGAAAAUAAUUCAUAAAUGGAAGCAAAUAUAUUUAACGUCAUGCUACAAUUCAUACUAGUAUACAACAUUUCAUUUCAUUCCCACCAUUUCUCAAAUUAAAUAUAAGGAUGUAUAUCUCAUGCUCAAAAUUAAAAAUUUAAAUAAAACAUAUUAUGCAAUACCUUCGGUCCGUCAGAUGGUAGUUGAUUGGAGAAUGCUACGUGCCAAGAAACUUUCAAAGUCUUACAUAUUUAAGAAUUUUAAUAAAAACUUUACAUCCCAUCCUUAAAAUUAUAUCUUAAGGAAAUUAUUAAUAAUUAAUAAAUAACAUGUAAAGUUAAAGUUAGCUAUAUACACAUUUAAUGCACAUAACAAUUUAAAUUAAUCCAAUUCUCAUAUAAACUAUCAUAUAUAUAUAUAAACAUUCAUUUGAAAUAAUCAUCUGAAAUAAACAAUCAAUUUUGAUUUUAUUUUAUUUACCUUUCACGUGAACAUGCAUAAUCAUAUCUAUAAACAUUCAUUUGAAAUAAUCACAAUCAUAAUUUCUUUUAUUUACCUUUCACGUGAACAGUGGUACUAUUCACGGUGAAAAAUGUUGUUAUAAUUCAAUUUAAUAGUUAUUAAAAUAAUAAUUUCCUACUACUACAUAAUUUAGUAAAAUUAUAAAACAUGUAUAAUUAUGCUGUACAAAUUUACACCCAACCACAUGUAUGUAUACUUACACACACAUGCCUCAUAUGUACACAUCACACGCUACGCAUGCAUACAUACAUACAUACAAACUUCAUAUAUAC
Molecule: long non-coding RNA, 5408 nt
Filed under: Olea europaea subsp. europaea
Lineage: Eukaryota; Viridiplantae; Streptophyta; Magnoliopsida; Lamiales; Oleaceae
Source: RNAcentral